Molecule: ribosomal RNA, 408 nt
Filed under: uncultured bacterium
Lineage: Bacteria
Description: partial 16S ribosomal RNA
Rfam family: Bacterial small subunit ribosomal RNA
Source: RNAcentral
GACGAACGCUGGCGGCGUGCUUAACACAUGCAAGUCGAACGAAGUGGCGAACGGGUGAGUAACGCGUAAUCAACCUGCCCUUCAGAGGGGGACAACAGUUGGAAACGACUGCUAAUACCGCAUACUGAAGGAGGGGAUUGCGUCUGAUCUGCUAGUUGGAGGGGUAACGGCCCACCAAGGCGAUGAUCAGUAGCCGGGCUGGGAGGAGGAACGGCCACAUUGGGAAUUGGACCCGGCCCAGACUUCUACGGGAGGCAGCAGUGGGGAAUCUUCCGAAAUGGACGAAAGUCUGACGGAGCAACGCCGCGUUAGGGAUGACGGCCUUCGGGUUGUAAAGCUCUGUUAAUCGGGACGCGGUACCGGAAUAGAAAGCCACGGCUAACUACGUGCCAGCAGCCGCGGUAAUUC